RNAcentral lists this ribosomal RNA (266 nucleotides) under uncultured bacterium. RNAcentral's name for it is "partial 16S ribosomal RNA". It matches the Rfam family "Bacterial small subunit ribosomal RNA", at positions 524 to 795 of the family's 1533-position model. The record is from RNAcentral.
UACGGAGGGGGUUAGCGUUGUUCGGAAUUACUGGGCGUAAAGCGCGCGUAGGCGGAUUAUACAGUAGAGAAAUCCCGGGGCUCAACCCCGGAACUGCCUUUGAUACUGGUAGUCUUGAGUUCGAGAGAGGUAAGUGGAAUUCCGAGUGUAGAGGUGAAAUUCGUAGAUAUUCGGAGGAACACCAGUGGCGAAGGCGGCUUACUGGCUCGAUACUGACGCUGAGGUGCGAAAGUGUGGGGAGCAAACAGGAUUAGAUACCCCGUGUC